Molecule: ribosomal RNA, 937 nt
Filed under: Lactobacillus iners
Lineage: Bacteria; Bacillati; Bacillota; Bacilli; Lactobacillales; Lactobacillaceae
Description: bacterial SSU rRNA
Rfam family: Bacterial small subunit ribosomal RNA
Source: RNAcentral
UGGCUCAGGACGAACGCUGGCGGCGUGCCUAAUACAUGCAAGUCGAGCGAGUCUGCCUUGAAGAUCGGAGUGCUUGCACUCUGUGAAACAAGAUACAGGCUAGCGGCGGACGGGUGAGUAACACGUGGGUAACCUGCCCAAGAGAUCGGGAUAACACCUGGAAACAGAUGCUAAUACCGGAUAACAACAGAUGAUGCCUAUCAACUGUUUAAAAGAUGGUUCUGCUAUCACUCUUGGAUGGACCUGCGGUGCAUUAGCUAGUUGGUAGGGUAACGGCCUACCAAGGCGAUGAUGCAUAGCCGAGUUGAGAGACUGAUCGGCCACAUUGGGACUGAGACACGGCCCAAACUCCUACGGGAGGCAGCAGUAGGGAAUCUUCCACAAUGGACGCAAGUCUGAUGGAGCAACGCCGCGUGAGUGAAGAAGGGUUUCGGCUCGUAGAGCUCUGUUGUUGGUGAAGAAGGACAGGGGUAGUAACUGACCUUUGUUUGACGGUAAUCAAUUAGAAAGUCACGGCUAACUACGUGCCAGCAGCCGCGGUAAUACGUAGGUGGCAAGCGUUGUCCGGAUUUAUUGGGCGUAAAGCGAGUGCAGGCGGCUCGAUAAGUCUGAUGUGAAAGCCUUCGGCUCAACCGGAGAAUUGCAUCAGAAACUGUCGAGCUUGAGUACAGAAGAGGAGAGUGGAACUCCAUGUGUAGCGGUGAAAUGCGUAGAUAUAUGGAAGAACACCGGUGGCGAAGGCGGCUCUCUGGUCUGUUACUGACGCUGAGGCUCGAAAGCAUGGGUAGCGAACAGGAUUAGAUACCCUGGUAGUCCAUGCCGUAAACGAUGAGUGCUAAGUGUUGGGGGGUUUCCGCCUCUCAGUGCUGCAGCUAACGCAUUAAGCACUCCGCCUGGGGAGUACGACCGCAAGGUUGAAACUCAAAGGAAUUGACGG